Molecule: non-coding RNA, 68 nt
Filed under: Plasmodium falciparum 3D7
Lineage: Eukaryota; Apicomplexa; Aconoidasida; Haemosporida; Plasmodiidae
Source: RNAcentral
UCAUCUGGUUUGUCAUCUGGUUUGUCAUCUGGUUUGUCAUCUGGUUUGUCAUCUGGUUUGUCAUCUGG